Molecule: ribosomal RNA, 1520 nt
Filed under: metagenome
Description: bacterial SSU rRNA
Rfam family: Bacterial small subunit ribosomal RNA
Source: RNAcentral
AGAGUUUGAUCAUGGCUCAGAUUGAACGCUGGCGGCAGGCCUAACACAUGCAAGUCGAACGGUAACAGGAAGCAGCUUGCUGCUUCGCUGACGAGUGGCGGACGGGUGAGUAAUGUCUGGGAAGCUGCCUGAUGGAGGGGGAUAACUACUGGAAACGGUAGCUAAUACCGCAUAAUGUCGCAAGACCAAAGAGGGGGACCUUCGGGCCUCUUGCCAUCGGAUGUGCCCAGAUGGGAUUAGCUUGUUGGUGGGGUAACGGCUCACCAAGGCGACGAUCCCUAGCUGGUCUGAGAGGAUGACCAGCCACACUGGAACUGAGACACGGUCCAGACUCCUACGGGAGGCAGCAGUGGGGAAUAUUGCACAAUGGGCGCAAGCCUGAUGCAGCCAUGCCGCGUGUAUGAAGAAGGCCUUCGGGUUGUAAAGUACUUUCAGCGGGGAGGAAGGGAGUAAAGUUAAUACCUUUGCUCAUUGACGUUACCCGCAGAAGAAGCACCGGCUAACUCCGUGCCAGCAGCCGCGGUAAUACGGAGGGUGCAAGCGUUAAUCGGAAUUACUGGGCGUAAAGCGCACGCAGGCGGUUUGUUAAGUCAGAUGUGAAAUCCCCGGGCUCAACCUGGGAACUGCAUCUGAUACUGGCAAGCUUGAGUCUCGUAGAGGGGGGUAGAAUUCCAGGUGUAGCGGUGAAAUGCGUAGAGAUCUGGAGGAAUACCGGUGGCGAAGGCGGCCCCCUGGACGAAGACUGACGCUCAGGUGCGAAGGCGUGGGGAGCAAACAGGAUUAGAUACCCUGGUAGUCCACGCCGUAAACGAUGUCGACUUGGAGGUUGUGCCCUUGAGGCGUGGCUUCCGGAGCUAACGCGUUAAGUCGACCGCCUGGGGAGUACGGCCGCAAGGUUAAAACUCAAAUGAAUUGACGGGGGCCCGCACAAGCGGUGGAGCAUGUGGUUUAAUUCGAUGCAACGCGAAGAACCUUACCUGGUCUUGACAUCACGGAAGUUUUCAGAGAUGAGAAUGUGCCUUCGGGAACCGUGAGACAGGUGCUGCAUGGCUGUCGUCAGCUCGUGUUGUGAAAUGUUGGGUUAAGUCCCGCAACGAGCGCAACCCUUAUCCUUUGUUGCCAGCGGUCCGGCCGGGAACUCAAAGGAGACUGCCAGUGAUAAACUGGAGGAAGGUGGGGAUGACGUCAAGUCAUCAUGGCCCUUACGACCAGGGCUACACACGUGCUACAAUGGCGCAUACAAAGAGAAGCGACCUCGCGAGAGCAAGCGGACCUCAUAAAGUGCGUCGUAGUCCGGAUUGGAGUCUGCAACUCGACUCCAUGAAGUCGGAAUCGCUAGUAAUCGUGGAUCAGAAUGCCACGGUGAAUACGUUCCCGGGCCUUGUACACACCGCCGUCACACCAUGGGAGUGGGUUGCAAAAGAAGUAGGUAGCUUAACCUUCGGGAGGGCGCUUACCACUUUGUGAUUCAUGACUGGGGUGAAGUCGGAACAAGGUAACCGUAGGGGAACCUGCGGUUG